GCUGGGCGUGGUGGCGCGUGCCUGUAAUCCCAGCUACUCGGGAGGCUGAGGCAGGAGAAUCACUUGAACCCGGGAGGCAGAGGUUGCAGUGAGCCGAGAUCAUGCCACUGCAUUCCAGCCUGGGUGACAGAGUGAGACUCCAUCUCAA
Molecule: non-coding RNA, 148 nt
Filed under: Nomascus leucogenys (northern white-cheeked gibbon)
Lineage: Eukaryota; Metazoa; Chordata; Mammalia; Primates; Hylobatidae
Source: Rfam by way of RNAcentral